AUGGUCAUGCUAUAUGGUCUGCAGGAUAGGAAGUUCCAGCCCAGAGAGCCAAUGACAGGAGAAAGGGAGGAGCCUAUAGACAUGAUGCCGGUGGAGAACAGCAUUUUCAGGUCCCUGACCUUUACUGCAGUUUCACAAGGAGCCCCUGACUCCUAGGCAGUCCCAGACUCCCAAAGGAAACAAUACUGACCGUCAGGUGGCUGUCCCAAUCUGCAUUGAGGAUUAGGUCACCGUCGCUUCUCUCUCGCAGCAAGACUGGCCUCCUAUUCAGCAAACUGAGAAAGGAAAUUUUUUAUUCAGGAGUCUUGGACUCCCCCUUGCACGGUUACAGCCCCAAAUCCUGCGAGAGGAGAAAACGAAGGAUAUUCUAACUCGAAGCCCCAAAGUAUGAAGUGACAAGAGCUGAUUUCUUCUGCUGAAACUGCUGAAAGGACAAAAUGUUACAGACAG
Molecule: long non-coding RNA, 450 nt
Organism: Ictalurus punctatus (channel catfish)
Lineage: Eukaryota; Metazoa; Chordata; Actinopteri; Siluriformes; Ictaluridae
Exons: 3
Source: RefSeq, a predicted model, not a curated record